This is a long non-coding RNA of Carlito syrichta (Philippine tarsier), 339 nucleotides long. RefSeq lists it as uncharacterized. The transcript has 3 exons. NCBI's taxonomy places the organism in Eukaryota, Metazoa, Chordata, Mammalia, Primates, Tarsiidae. The record is from RefSeq and is a predicted model, not a curated record.
UGAAGAAGAGCACCCUUUGGUAUGUUGUCACCACUAAAUGCUACCACCUAGCCAUGCUGCAAUGAAUCUAACUGAUCUUCUGUCCCUUUGAACCAUGAUCUAAUUAUGCUAUUCUGUUAAAGAUGAUUGAAGAAUAGCAUUCUUUGGUUUUUCAACACCAGACAGCUGACAUAUACAAGUAUCUAUCUGGUCUCCUAUCAACUUUCAACCAUGGCUUAAGGAUGCCAUCCUGAAAAAGCAAUUUGAAGACAGAGAAGGCAACUGUUUGCAAGCCAAGAAGACAGGCCUCACCAGAAACUCACUCUGCAGACACCUUGAUCUUGGAUUUCCAACCUCCAG